GAUGAACGCUGGCGGCGUGCCUAAUACAUGCAAGUCGAGCGAACGGACGAUAAGCUUGCUUCUCUGAUGUUAGCGGCGGACGGGUGAGUAACACGUGGAUAACGUACCUAUCAGUCUGGGAUAACUUCGGGAAACCGGCUAUUAUACCGGAUAAUAUUUUGCACCGCAUGGUUCGAAAGUGAAAGACGGUCUUGCUGUCUCUACUCGCUGGUUCCGCGCUGCAUUAGCUAGUUGGUAAGGUAACGGCUUGCCAAGGCAACGAUGCAUAGCCGACCUGAUAGACGGAUCGGCCACACUGGAGCUGAGACACGGUCCAGACUCCUACGGGAGGCAGCAGUAGGGAAUCGGCGGCAAUGGGCGAAAGCCUGACGGAGCGAGGGCGCGUGAGUGAUGAAGGUCUUCGGAUCGUAAAACCCUGUUAUUAGGGAAGAACAUAUUUGUAAUGAGACGUGGACAUCGUGACGGUACCGAAUAAAAAAGCCACGGCUAACUACGUG
RNAcentral lists this ribosomal RNA (497 nucleotides) under uncultured bacterium. RNAcentral's name for it is "partial 16S ribosomal RNA". It matches the Rfam family "Bacterial small subunit ribosomal RNA", at positions 28 to 507 of the family's 1533-position model. The record is from RNAcentral.